This is a long non-coding RNA of Odontomachus brunneus, 555 nucleotides long. RefSeq lists it as uncharacterized. The record is from RefSeq and is a predicted model, not a curated record. The transcript is spliced from 3 exons. Lineage: Eukaryota; Metazoa; Arthropoda; Insecta; Hymenoptera; Formicidae.
AACACAACUCUUACAAAAGUUGUUGGGUUCGGAGGGGUACAUAGGAUGGUGAUUUUCAAUUUCACCUUGACCUUGACUUUCAAGGUCAUUUGAAGGUCAAAUCCAAUUUUAAAUAGAAACCCCUGUUUUUGACCCCACAUUCGGAAAAAGCGCAAAAUUUUACGUUUAGAUGGGUACUUAAGGUUCUUCUUUGGAAUGACCUUAAGAGGUUAUUUCAAGGACAAAAUAUUUGAAAUUACGCAUCUGAAUACAUAUCUUGUCGGGGAGUCACCAUUCCAAACAACCCUUACAAAAGUUAUUGGGUUCGGAGGAGGACAUUGGAUGGUGACCUUCAAUUUCACCUUGACUUUGACCUUCAAGGUCAAGGCACAGCACAAAGAACCACAGUUUUGUAAUGAGAACAGGCUCCGGCACGUUCUUCACAAUUACAUUAAUUUUUUUGGUGCUAAUAACGUUUAGGAAAAAAAUUCAAUGUAUGAGAACUUGUGUAUCAAAUUCACAGUGAUGAACCCAUUUUUACAAAAUUUAAACGUCUAUAUAAAUUCAAAUCUUCGU